This 440-nucleotide ribosomal RNA is filed under the name uncultured bacterium. RNAcentral's name for it is "partial 16S ribosomal RNA". It matches the Rfam family "Bacterial small subunit ribosomal RNA", at positions 338 to 795 of the family's 1533-position model. The record is from RNAcentral.
CCUACGGGAGGCAGCAGUGGGGAAUAUUGCACAAUGGGGGAAACCCUGAUGCAGCGACGCCGCGUGAGUGAAGAAGUAAUUCGUUAUGUAAAGCUCUAUCAGCAGGGAAGAAAAUGACGGUACCUGAGUAAGAAGCCCCGGCUAACUACGUGCCAGAAGCCGCGGUAAUACGUAGGGGGCAAGCGUUAUCCGGAUUUACUGGGUGUAAAGGGAGCGUAGACGGCAGUGCAAGUCUGGAGUGAAAGGCGGGGGCUCAACCCCCGGACUGCUCUGGAAACUGUACGGCUGGAGUGCAGGAGAGGUGAGUGGAAUUCCUAGUGUAGCGGUGGAAUGCGUAGAUAUUAGGAGGAACACCAGUGGCGAAGGCGGCUUACUGGACUGUAACUGACGUUGAGGCUCGAAAGCGUGGGGAGCAAACAGGAUUAGAUACCCCUGUAGUC